Non-coding RNA from Gossypium arboreum, 478 nucleotides. The record is from Rfam. NCBI's taxonomy places the organism in Eukaryota, Viridiplantae, Streptophyta, Magnoliopsida, Malvales, Malvaceae.
CUGGUUGAUCUUGCAAGUAGUCAUAUGCUUGUCUUAAAGAUUAAGUCAUGCAUGUGUAUGUAUGAAUAAAUUCAGACUGUGAAACUGCGAAUGGCUCAUUAAAUCAGUUAUAGUUUUUUUAUGGUAUUUGCUACUCGGGUAAUCGUAGUAAUUCUAGAGCUAAUACGUGCAACAAACGUAGACUUUGGAAGGGAUGCAUUUAUUAGAUAAAAGGUUGACGCGAGCUUUGCCUGUUGCUUUGAUGAUUCAUGAUAACUCGACGGAUCGCAUGGCCUUUAUGCCAGCGACUUAUCAUUCAAAUUUUUGCCAUAUCAACUUUCGAUGGUAGGAUAGUGGCAUACUAUAGUGGUGACGGGUGACGGAUAAUCCAUGUCAAAAACCAUAGUACAAGUUUUGGUCAUAGCUAAGGGUGAGCGUUCGUUAGAAUCAAACCGAAUCAAAUUAAAAAUUUUUUAGUUAAGUAGACGAAUCAUAUUUU